Molecule: ribosomal RNA, 511 nt
Filed under: uncultured bacterium
Lineage: Bacteria
Description: bacterial SSU rRNA
Rfam family: Bacterial small subunit ribosomal RNA
Source: RNAcentral
AUUGAACGACUGGCGGCAUGCCUUACACAUGCAAGUCGAACGGUAACAGGUCUUCGGAUGCUGACGAGUGGCGAACGGGUGAGUAAUACAUCGGAACGUGCCCGAUCGUGGGGGAUAACUACUCGAAAGAGUGGCUAAUACCGCAUACGAUCUACGGAUGAAAGCAGGGGACCGCAAGGCCUUGCGCGGACGGAGCGGCCGAUGGCAGAUUAGGUAGUUGGUGGGAUAAAAGCUUACCAAGCCGACGAUCUGUAGCUGGUCUGAGAGGACGACCAGCCACACUGGGACUGAGACACGGCCCAGACUCCUACGGGAGGCAGCAGUGGGGAAUUUUGGACAAUGGGGGAAACCCUGAUCCAGCCAUGCCGCGUGCAGGAUGAAGGCCUUCGGGUUGUAAACUGCUUUUGUACGGAACGAAAAGGUACUUUUCUUAAUUAAAGAAGGACCCAUGACGGUACCGUAAGAAUAAGCACCGGCUAACUACGUGCCAGCAGCCGCGGUAAAACGUCUA